RNAcentral lists this ribosomal RNA (564 nucleotides) under uncultured Glomeromycotina. RNAcentral's name for it is "SSU rRNA". It matches the Rfam family "Eukaryotic small subunit ribosomal RNA", at positions 548 to 1114 of the family's 1831-position model. The record is from RNAcentral. Lineage: Eukaryota; Fungi; Glomeromycota.
UUGGAGGGCAAGUCUGGUGCCAGCAGCCGCGGUAAUUCCAGCUCCAAUAGCGUAUAUUAAAGUUGUUGCAGUUAAAAAGCUCGUAGUUGAAUUUCGAGAUCAAAUUGUUGGUCGUGCCUUGGUACGUACUGACAUUAUUGAUUUCUCCCUUCUGAAGAACCAUGAUGUCAUUAAUUUGGUGUCAUGGGGAAUCAGGACUGUUACUUUGAAAAAAUUAGAGUGUUUAAAGCAAGCUCGCGCUUGAAUACAUUAGCAUGGAAUAAUGAAAUAGGACGUUUAAUUCUAUUUUGUUGGUUUCUAGGAUUGACGUAAUGAUUAAUAGGGAUAGUUGGGGGCAUUAGUAUUCAAUUGUCAGAGGUGAAAUUCUUGGAUUUAUUGAAGACUAACUACUGCGAAAGCAUUUGCCAAGGAUGUUUUCAUUAAUCAAGAACGAAAGUUAGGGGAUCGAAGACGAUCAGAUACCGUCGUAGUCUUAACCACGAACUAUGCCGACUAGGGAUCGGAUGAUGUUAAUUUUUUAAUGACUCAUUCGGCGCCUUACGGGAAACCAAAGUGUUUGGGUUC